AAUUCGUGUUGUGGGCAUAGCAGAGGAAACUUUUGUAUCAUUCCUAUGCCUUUGAAUAGCAUUCUGAGUCCAGUUGUUGGAAAAUAGUAAUCUCAUUCCUUAGCUU
This 106-nucleotide small nucleolar RNA is filed under the name Olea europaea subsp. europaea. RNAcentral describes it as "Plant small nucleolar RNA R71". It matches the Rfam family "Plant small nucleolar RNA R71". From Rfam's summary of the family: R71 is a member of the C/D box family of snoRNAs containing the C (UGAUGA) and D (CUGA) box motifs. Multiple nearly identical copies of this snoRNA have been identified in Arabidopsis, and it is thought to function as a 2'-O-ribose methylation guide for 18S ribosomal RNA. The record is from Rfam by way of RNAcentral. Lineage: Eukaryota; Viridiplantae; Streptophyta; Magnoliopsida; Lamiales; Oleaceae.